GAUGCUGAAGGAUGGACAAUGAAGAACUGUGAAUAAGGAGAGGGCUAAGGGCCGUUGGGCAGAACCUGACUGUGAUCUGGAAUACUGGAUGUUAGCCCCAUCCAAAAGCUUUAAGGAUCCUGCUUUCCAGUGGCAGACACAUGCCCUUGUGUGAAUGGAUGAAGCCAUGAGCUUUAGUUGUUUCCCAACUUUUGUCACAAGCCCUGCUGUAGUGAAUGCCUUUGUCAUUAGUUUUCACUUGAUGGUGAGUACAUUUGCAGGAUUACAGAUGGAGUCGCUGAGUCACGCAUGUACAAGCACAUGUUGAGUGGUGCUGCUACUGCCAUGGGGCAUGGAGGUGGGCAGAGCCAAGUGGGCCACAUACAAGCCACACAGCCACCAAGCUCUGCCACACACCCCAGUGGGGGACACAAGAGCAGGUCCAGCAUGCCCUGAAGAGGUGAUAAGCGCUGCCCAUAUCCAAUACCACCUUAGAGGGCUGCGGAAGAAGGGAAGACACUCGGCAUCCAGAAAAGGUGGUGUUGAUUCUCACCAGGUUUACUCAUCAAGCUAAGAGGACCAGAAGGGGCCCCGAUUCCUAUUGACCUCUGGCUCAAGGAACAGGACACAGCUGAUGAGACAAGCUGUCCCAGCAGUCAGAGUCAGAAGAAGCUGCCUUUCCCUGUAGUUAAAAGAAGCACAGAGCAAAUGUGUGGCCCAGAUCAAGUGUGAUUCCUCAACCUGUGUCUCCUUCUCCCUGAGCUCUGGUUCAUCCCUCCCAAAUUAACCCCCUAACCAAGACUGUCUUCUGUGUCUCACAUUCCAUACAUACCUUGCCUGUGCCAAGCGACCCAGGAGAAGAGGCUGCUGUGGGUGAGAUUCCUCAGCCACUGGGGUAGUUGAGGCCUCCAACCAGGACCCAGCCUUCUGCUGCCUCAUGGGCCUGUGGGUGAGCUCCUCCCCAUGACUCAGGACUGGCUCCAUGCCCAUACUCACUACCGAGUGUAUGCUGCUGGUGCAGACCAAACUGACCAACACUGUGUCAGUUAGAGGGACCCUGUUCUGACACUGGGGGACUCAGGUCCCACGUGGAUAACCAGAUGCCUGGUCUGGGCCCCACUGCCCAGGGUUCUGUUUUCAUCCCGGGGCAUCCUGGAGGCUGCUUACACAGAACACAAUGACAGCUCUUGAACCUCACACAGAGGAAGCUGCAUGCCCCCCUUAAACUUCCUCCUACAGUACAUGAGUUUCUGCUGUACAUUCAAAGAGUGAGAGUCAUCAAAAUGAAUAAUCUUCUCUUUUCAAAAUUUGGAUACAAUCAUACAGAAUAUGUGCUCUGCCCAUGAUGAAAUCAAACUAGAAAUCAAUACCAAAACUCAACAGGAAAACCUAUAAACACUGAAAAUUAAACAACACACUUCUAAAUAAUCCAUGCAUUAAGGAGGAAAUCUCAAAGGAAAUUUUAGAAUACACAGAACUGAAUAAAAAUUGUCAUGGUUAAUUU
This is a long non-coding RNA of Suricata suricatta (meerkat), 1483 nucleotides long. RefSeq lists it as uncharacterized. The transcript is spliced from 2 exons. The record is from RefSeq and is a predicted model, not a curated record. NCBI's taxonomy places the organism in Eukaryota, Metazoa, Chordata, Mammalia, Carnivora, Herpestidae.